Molecule: ribosomal RNA, 229 nt
Filed under: uncultured fungus
Lineage: Eukaryota; Fungi
Description: partial 18S ribosomal RNA
Rfam family: Eukaryotic small subunit ribosomal RNA
Source: RNAcentral
ACUAGGGAUCGGGCGAUGUUAUCUUUUUGACUCGCUCGGCACCUUACGAGAAAUCAAAGUUAAGGGUUCUGGGGGGGAGUAUGGUCGCAAGGCUGAAACUUUAAGGAAUUGACGGAAGGGCACCACCAGGAGUGGAGCCUGCGGCUUAAUUUGACUCAACACGGGGAAACUCACCAGGUCCAGACAACCAUAGGAUUGACAGAUUGAGAGCNCUUUCUUGAUUCGGUGG